AUAUUGCACAAUGGGCGAAAGCCUGAUGCAGCAACGCCGCGUGAGGGAUGACGGCCUUCGGGUUGUAAACCUCUUUUAGUAGGGAAGAAGCGCAAGUGACGGUACCUGCAGAAACAGCACCGGCUAACUACGUGCCAGCAGCCGCGGUAAUACGUAGGGUGCAAGCGUUGUCCGGAAUUAUUGGGCGGAAAGAGCUCGUGGGCGGCUUGUCGGGUCUGUAGUGAAAUCCCGAGGCUUAACCUCGGGAUUGCAGGGGGGACGGGAGAGCUGGAGUGCGGUAGGGGAGAUUGGAAUUCCUGGUGUAGGGGUGGAAUGCGCAGAUAUCAGGAGGAACACCGAUGGCGAAGGCAGAUCCCUGGGCCGGUACUGACGCUGAGGGGCGAAAGCAUGGGGGGCGAACA
This 401-nucleotide ribosomal RNA is filed under the name uncultured bacterium. RNAcentral's name for it is "partial 16S ribosomal RNA". It matches the Rfam family "Bacterial small subunit ribosomal RNA", at positions 361 to 774 of the family's 1533-position model. The record is from RNAcentral.